CCCUCAGCUUAAGGCUCUUCCCUGAGGAUGACCAUGGCACUUCCAGCUGCAGGUCUGGGGUGGCUGCUCAUCUCUUGAACCACUGUCCUCCCAGGUAGGUACAGAUCCCUUGUGUACUGCACCCUACCACCCCAAUUUCUCCCUGGGAAGUACAUUGAUUUGUGCUAGCAACUGCUUACUGGAGGACCCAGCUGUUACAGUGGACACUUUCUCUGGAUGUUGGAUGGAGCUCUCUUUAACCCAUCCUUCCCCCUCUGAAUGCUGGGAGAAGCUAAAUGCUGGCAGUCUUCCUCCAGCUUCAAAUCCAAUUAAGUUCACUGGAGAAUCUGGGCAAUGCCUCCAGAUAACAUUCCUACUUCCAGCCU
RNAcentral lists this long non-coding RNA (365 nucleotides) under Homo sapiens (human). RNAcentral's name for it is "HSALNT0195210". The record is from RNAcentral. Lineage: Eukaryota; Metazoa; Chordata; Mammalia; Primates; Hominidae.